This 426-nucleotide ribosomal RNA is filed under the name uncultured bacterium. RNAcentral describes it as "partial 16S ribosomal RNA". It matches the Rfam family "Bacterial small subunit ribosomal RNA", at positions 354 to 796 of the family's 1533-position model. The record is from RNAcentral.
GUGAGGAAUUUUCCGCAAUGGGCGAAAGCCUGACGGAGCAGUGCCGCGUGAAGGAUGAAGGCCUAUGGGUUGUAAACUUCUUUUCUCAGAAAAGAAUUAUGACGGUAUCUGAGGAAUAAGCAUCGGCUAACUCUGUGCCAGCAGCCGCGGUAAGACAGAGGAUGCAAGCGUUAUCCGGAAUGAUUGGGCGUAAAGCGUCUGUAGGUUGUUUAAAAAGUAUUCUGUAAAAGAUUAGGGCUUAACCCUAGAUAGGCAGAAUAAACUUUUAAGCUAGAGUUUGGUAGAGGCAGAGGGAAUUCCCGGUGGAGCGGUGAAAUGCGUAGAUAUCGGGAGGAACACCAAAGGCGAAGGCACUCUGCUGGGCCAAUACUAACACUGAGAGACGAAAGCGAGGGGAGCAAAUGGGAUUAGAAACCCGAGUAGUCC